This 84-nucleotide microRNA precursor is filed under the name Bombyx mori (domestic silkworm). Its description in RNAcentral is "mir-2807 microRNA precursor family". It matches the Rfam family "mir-2807 microRNA precursor family". Lineage: Eukaryota; Metazoa; Arthropoda; Insecta; Lepidoptera; Bombycidae. The record is from Rfam by way of RNAcentral.
CUAGCUCAUAUGUGUAUGGAGUGGGAACGUUUGCCUACGUUUGCCGCCAGGGCCGCUGUUCCAACUGCAUACAAAAUUGGCCUA